RNAcentral lists this unclassified non-coding RNA (1083 nucleotides) under Hevea brasiliensis (rubber tree). The record is from RNAcentral. Lineage: Eukaryota; Viridiplantae; Streptophyta; Magnoliopsida; Malpighiales; Euphorbiaceae.
UAUUAUUAUUAUUAUUAUUAUUAGAUGCUGCUGGUUUUUGUCUUGACCCAGAUGACAACGUAGACCUGCAAUGAAAAAAAGGGGUGAGGUGGAUGGCCUUCUGGUGGGCCUCUCCGACGCUCAAGUCAGUGAUCUUAAUCCCUUCAGAGAGAGAGAUUAAGGAAUUCUUUUGUAACAGAGAAUAAUAUAGAUAGGAAGCGUACGUGCAUCCUUUCUUUUGGCUGGUAUUUAUAGGCUUUUUAAGAAAAUAGUCAUUGCUUUAUUUAGGACGAUGAUCUUGGUUAAAUAUUCAUGGAUCGCCGUGAUAUUAGCUUUUAUUGGAUUAUAUGCAGAAUCAUCGCUCGGUCCGUGGAAUCCGGGCUAUAUCUGAUAUUGCGAGUGUUUGCGCGGUAAGGGUUUUGUUCGACCUUUUUGGUCGAACAAAACUAUCGUUCGGUCCUUUCUUCUUGCUCGGCUCGUUAAGUCUGUUUGGGGUUUGCCACAUUGGAAGUAUUUGCUUAGACUAUCCAUACUAGAAAUAUUUUUUGAUUUUUUGACUUUAUUUUGAGAGGGUGGUAUCAUUAUUAUUAUUUUUACUAUUAUUAUUAUUAUUUUUGAAUAUGUCCAGAAAGCCAAAAAUUUAUGAAAUGCGUUCAACUUUUUAAGUUUUGAAAAAUUAAUAUGAUCAAAUGUGUUCAAUUUUAAGUGCUUAAUCAAGUUACCAAAACUCAUUGUGAAAAAUAAAAAUGUUUUCAAUAAUAAUAAAAAGCAUCAUAUUUCUACAUGUGCAACAUAUGGACAGGACACCAUUUUACCCCAAUAUUUUCUAUUUGAUGUCAUCAUAGAUUGUGUUGAUUGUGUGAAACCAUCGAUUGUUGUUCCUAUGUAACAACUCUUAAAUUGGGUUAAAGAAAUUGAUUUGAUUUCUGAUUUUUAAGGUGAAUGAACAACUCAUAUAGUUUACAAUGCAUUGGAUUUUUUAUGCUAGACAGUGACGUAUUUUGGUUAUACUAGUUGCAAUCAGUGUUGUCAAGGUGAAAGGCGAUAAGGUGCACUAUAACCUUAGGCGAGGCGAGGCGAGGCGAGGCGAGGCGAGGCGAGGCG